UGAUUAAGAAUAGUUUAUAGAAGACUAGGAGAUGAGAGCUUACAUUUGAAAAAAAAUGAAGUGUUUUGUUUCCUUCCCUCUAACAGACAUCUAAACAUUUCUUUUGACCUAAUGUGGUGUGAUGGGUGGAGRGAGGCCGGAAGGGAUGUAAUACCGGGUACUGCUUCUUCAAUGAGCACAUUUUGAUCGCAGAUCUGAAGACAUUUUUUCAAAAUGGCAAGUGAGGUGAUUUAUGCAGAAGUAUCACCAGAAGAGAGAGGGCAUUUUACUUCACAAACUUCAGAUGAAGGUGAUAGGACGACAUACGCUGAGGUGAAAGUGAAAUGGAAAUCUGACACGUCUGACAAUACACCCAAGACUACACAUACAGAUAAUGGAAGAGAUGCUUAGGGCUAGGUGCACAAAGAGAUGCAGAUAUGAUUCAGGCAAAUUAGAAGAUCUUCAAAACCUUUCCCAGCUACUGAUUAUCCCUGAGAUGCCUGGAGCCUGCUGGUGAUGUUUUCUGAGUUAGCAGGUACAGUUAGAGUCUCCAAGGUUUUCAUUGAGCUGAAUGUUUUGUCCCUGACCAACAGGUCAGCCUGCCAGGGUUCACAGCAUCAGCACUGUCUGCCUUAGGUUGCCUUCCGAACUCAGC
This 634-nucleotide long non-coding RNA is filed under the name Dromaius novaehollandiae (emu). RNAcentral's name for it is "lncRNA (ENSDNVG00000004010.1)". The record is from RNAcentral. Lineage: Eukaryota; Metazoa; Chordata; Aves; Casuariiformes; Dromaiidae.